AAAACGUCAAUCUUUUCAGCUUCCUAGACGUCGGAUCCCCUGAAACACCGACGUCUAUAGACGUCGGUUUCUGGAACAACCGACGCCCCAUUUCAUUUUAAAUAGACCGCAGACUCUUCUCACCAUUCAGUUUCUGAUCUCGUCUUCAUCUCUUCUCCUUUUUCCCUGCUUCUCCUCUUCUUUUACUCGCUUGCGCACCUCUACUUUUUAUCUCUUGCGGCAUCGCAUUAUCGUUUCUCAAUAUGUUAUUGUCUUCGUCCUCUCCUUUUUCUCUCUUGCAUCCUAGGUGAGUGUUUUUUUUUAAUGNUUACCGUUUAAACUUUCUUUAGUUUUUUAUCGAUUAUCUUGUGGUUCAACUGAUUAAAAUUUGUUUUCUUUGUGUU
RNAcentral lists this long non-coding RNA (383 nucleotides) under Vigna radiata. Its description in RNAcentral is "long non-coding RNA (VRAD_LNC001442)". Lineage: Eukaryota; Viridiplantae; Streptophyta; Magnoliopsida; Fabales; Fabaceae. The record is from RNAcentral.